Molecule: long non-coding RNA, 284 nt
Filed under: Elaeis guineensis (African oil palm)
Lineage: Eukaryota; Viridiplantae; Streptophyta; Magnoliopsida; Arecales; Arecaceae
Description: long non-coding RNA (EGUI_LNC057738)
Source: RNAcentral
UGAUAUCCACAUGAAGCUAUCUGAUUGGAGCAUCAAGAUCAUCGGUGUGCUAGCACCUUUCAGAUCUUGCUCCUCAUCCAUGGAUCUUGAUCUCUUCUUCCAAAUCUUGAAGAAGCAGAUCGCUGCACGAACUCUUUUGUGCAGAUCCGAUGGGAUCUUAACUAGAUCACCAUGCAGAGUUGAAGAACCAUUCUUCUUCUCUUUUUCUCUCUCUUUUUCUCUCUUAGAUUUGAUCUCUAUCAGAUCUGGGCAUGGACAUGAAGUGGAGAAGAAAAGAAGAGGCA